Molecule: ribosomal RNA, 429 nt
Filed under: Bacteroidota bacterium
Lineage: Bacteria; Pseudomonadati; Bacteroidota
Description: Bacteroidetes bacterium partial 16S ribosomal RNA
Rfam family: Bacterial small subunit ribosomal RNA
Source: RNAcentral
UAGGGAAUCUUCCGCAAUGGACGCAAGUCUGACGGAGCAACGCCGCGUGAGUGAAGAAGGAUUUCGGUUCGUAAAACUCUGUUGUUAGAGAAGAACAGCGCAUAGAGUAACUGUUAUGCGUGUGACGGUAUCUAACCAGAAAGCCACGGCUAACUACGUGCCAGCAGCCGCGGUAAUACGUAGGUGGCAAGCGUUAUCCGGAAUUAUUGGGCGUAAAGCGCGCGUAGGCGGUUUUUUAAGUCUGAUGUGAAAGCCCACGGCUCAACCGUGGAGGGUCAUUGGAAACUGGAAAACUUGAGUGCAGAAGAGGAAAGUGGAAUUCCAUGUGUAGCGGCGAAAUGCGCAGAGAUAUGGAGGAACACCAGUGGCGAAGGCGACUUUCUGGUCUGUAACUGACGCUGAUGUGCGAAAGCGUGGGGAUCAAACAGG